RNAcentral lists this ribosomal RNA (134 nucleotides) under Cetraria islandica. RNAcentral describes it as "5.8S ribosomal RNA". It matches the Rfam family "5.8S ribosomal RNA", at positions 16 to 149 of the family's 154-position model. Rfam says of the family: 5.8S ribosomal RNA (5.8S rRNA) is a component of the large subunit of the eukaryotic ribosome. It is transcribed by RNA polymerase I as part of the 45S precursor that also contains 18S and 28S rRNA. Functionally, it is thought that 5.8S rRNA may be involved in ribosome translocation. RNAcentral also lists the same sequence under 13 other names. The record is from RNAcentral. Lineage: Eukaryota; Fungi; Ascomycota; Lecanoromycetes; Lecanorales; Parmeliaceae.
AUCUCUUGGUUCCAGCAUCGAUGAAGAACGCAGCGAAAUGCGAUAACUAAUGUGAAUUGCAGAAUUCAGUGAAUCAUCGAGUCUUUGAACGCACAUUGCGCCCCUCGGUAUUCCGGGGGGCAUGCCUGUUCGAG